GCGUUAAAGUUUGAAAAGUUCCAAGUAUAAUUACCUUUUUGCGAUGUAAAAAAACAUAAACCGACAAGUGUAGUUAUUACAAUAUUAUUCAUACCGACAAAAAAACCUUCGUUGGAAGAGGUAAAUGUCUUGAUGAAGAGGCUGAUACUGUACAGGUUAGGUGACAGUUAUUAACAGGAUUUAUGUAACAGCGUAAAUUGUUUUAGUUUGACCACACAACAUUCCAACAUGACUGAUAACAGGUCAAAUACUUUGUUCACUGAUAUUGUAGAAAAUGACAAGUGUUAAACCAUUCAAACAGGUAAACCAACGGUCUUGUCUACAUAAAACAUGACAAGCCCGUUAUCAAAAGUUAACAAAGAAUGUCCUCGAUUUUAUAAUAGUAUAUAAGAUUUUCGUGUGUAUUUUUGUCUUGACGCCAUCUAAUUAACUGUCAGAAUGACCUCCGAUUAUUGCCGAUGAUCACUUAUAUAACCCUAUAUAAACAUAAACAUAGAUAUAAACAGAUAAAGACCUCUGGAUUUUUAUAGGUUUUUUUAUAUUAUUUUAAAAGGUUAGAAAAAAAUAAGUUUGUCAAUAUUUUUUUGUGGAUAGAAUAAGUAAACGAAAUGGCUCACCUUUGUUUCACUUUCAAUGUUGACAUUCUUUGUCUUUUAAUGACUGAACACGACUUAUACAUGCGUAACCAAUAUAAACUUAAUGGGUUAAAUUGAAGGGCACAUGAAGACGAAUUUAAUGAGAUCAAAUUAUUCAUUUGCAAGUAGGAAUGUUAAUCUAAAAUUAAUACUCGAGUACUCGGAUAAAUCUUUAACGUCUAGUGAAAAAUUUCUGUUAUGAUGUCGUAUUGUUGGUUCUUACCUUUCAUAGACCUAAUUACAAAUGAUGACAUCGCUUGACAUCUUAACAAAAGACAUACAUAGUGUUAGAAGAACUCAAACUAUGUGACUACAAACUAUUAUUAUACUGGUCCUUGAUUUUGUGUCAAUAGAGUAAUGAAUAACGGACCACUGUUUCUACAAAAUAAUUUAGCAAUAAUUGUAUGUGUGUUCAUUAACCAAAUCAGAGACAUGUAAAAAAACCGCCA
This 1084-nucleotide long non-coding RNA is filed under the name Mytilus galloprovincialis (Mediterranean mussel). The record is from RNAcentral. Lineage: Eukaryota; Metazoa; Mollusca; Bivalvia; Mytilida; Mytilidae.